Molecule: ribosomal RNA, 468 nt
Filed under: uncultured bacterium
Lineage: Bacteria
Description: partial 16S ribosomal RNA
Rfam family: Bacterial small subunit ribosomal RNA
Source: RNAcentral
GACGAACGCUGGCGGCGUGCUUAACACAUGCCAGUCGAACGGAAAGGCCCUGCUUUUGUGGGGUGCUCGAGUGGCGAACGGGUGAGUAACACGUGAGUAACCUGCCCUUGACUUUGGGAUAACUUCAGGAAACUGGGGCUAAUACCGGAUAGGAGCUCCUGCUGCAUGUUGGGGGUUGGAAAGUUUCGGCGGUUGGGGAUGGACUCGCAGCUUAUCAGCUUGUUGGUGGGGUAGUGGCGUACCAAGGCUUUGACGGGUAGCCGGCCUGAGAGGGUGACCGGCCACAUUGGGACUGAGAUACGGCCCAGACUCCUACGGGAGGCAGCAGUGGGGAAUAUUGCACAAUGGGCGGAAGCCUGAUGCAGCAACGCCGCGUGCGGGAUGACGUCCUUCGAGUUGUAAACCGCUUUCGCCUGUGACGAAGCGUGAGUGACGGUAAUGGGUAAAGAAGCACCGGCUAACUACGUG